AUUGAACGCUGGCGGCAGGCCUAACACAUGCAAGUCGAGCGGCAGCACGGGUACUUGUACCUGGUGGCGAGCGGCGGACGGGUGAGUAAUGCCUAGGAAUCUGCCUGGUAGUGGGGGAUAACGCUCGGAAACGGACGCUAAUACCGCAUACGUCCUACGGGAGAAAGCAGGGGGACCUUCGGGCCUUGCGCUAUCAGAUGAGCCUAGGUCGGAUUAGCUAGUUGGUGAGGUAAUGGCUCACCAAGGCGACGAUCCGUAACUGGUCUGAGAGGAUGAUCAGUCACACUGGAACUGAGACACGGUCCAGACUCCUACGGAGGCAGCAGUGGGGAAUAUUGGACAAUGGGCGAAAGCCUGAUCCAGCCAUGCCGCGUGUGUGAAGAAGGUCUUCGGAUUGUAAAGCACUUUAAGUUGGGAGGAAGGGCAGUUACCUAAUACGUAUCUGUUUUGACGUUACCGACAGAAUAAGCACCGGCUAACUCUGUGCCAGCA
Molecule: ribosomal RNA, 492 nt
Filed under: uncultured bacterium
Lineage: Bacteria
Description: bacterial SSU rRNA
Rfam family: Bacterial small subunit ribosomal RNA
Source: RNAcentral